CUUGCAGCGCUGCUGCGUGAGCGUCAGGCAGAUCAGGCCACGGCCGUGCUUCGCCAUGAAGUUGAUCGCCUCCGGUGUGACGUGCUCGGCCGCCA
RNAcentral lists this non-coding RNA (95 nucleotides) under uncultured Niveibacterium sp. The record is from RNAcentral. Lineage: Bacteria; Pseudomonadati; Pseudomonadota; Betaproteobacteria; Rhodocyclales; Rhodocyclaceae.